This 253-nucleotide ribosomal RNA is filed under the name uncultured bacterium. RNAcentral describes it as "partial 16S ribosomal RNA". It matches the Rfam family "Bacterial small subunit ribosomal RNA", at positions 524 to 776 of the family's 1533-position model. The record is from RNAcentral.
UACGUAGGGGGCAAGCGUUGUCCGGAAUCAUUGGGCGUAAAGCGCGCGUAGGCGGCCCGGUAAGUCCGCUGUAAAAGUCCAGGGCUCAACCCUGGAAAGCCGGUGGAUACUGUCGGGCUAGAGUCCGGAAGAGGCGAGUGGAAUUCCUGGUGUAGCGGUGGAAUGCGCAGAUAUCAGGAAGAACACCAACGGCGAAGGCAGCUCGCUGGGACGGUACUGACGCUGAGACGCGAAAGCGUGGGGAGCGAACAGG